AGCUUGCUCCCGGAUGUUAGCGGCGGACGGGUGAGUAACACGUGGGUAACCUGCCUGUAAGACUGGGAUAACUCCGGGAAACCGGAGCUAAUACCGGAUAGUUCCUUGAACCGCAUGGUUCAAGGAUGAAAGACGGUUUCGGCUGUCACUUACAGAUGGACCCGCGGCGCAUUAGCUAGUUGGUGGGGUAAUGGCUCACCAAGGCGACGAUGCGUAGCCGACCUGAGAGGGUGAUCGGCCACACUGGGACUGAGACACGGCCCAGACUCCUACGGGAGGCAGCAGUAGGGAAUCUUCCGCAAUGGACGAAAGUCUGACGGAGCAACGCCGCGUGAGUGAUGAAGGUUUUCGGAUCGUAAAGCUCUGUUGUUAGGGAAGAACAAGUGCGAGAGUAACUGCUCGCACCUUGACGGUACCUAACCAGAAAGCCACGGCUAACUACGUGCCAGCAGCCGCGGUAAUACGUAGGUGGCAAGCGUUGUCCGGAAUUAUUGGGCGUAAAGGGCUCGCAGGCGGUUUCUUAAGUCUGAUGUGAAAGCCCCCGGCUCAACCGGGGAGGGUCAUUGGAAACUGGGAAACUUGAGUGCAGAAGAGGAGAGUGGAAUUCCACG
This 611-nucleotide ribosomal RNA is filed under the name Bacillus sp. (in: firmicutes). RNAcentral's name for it is "bacterial SSU rRNA". It matches the Rfam family "Bacterial small subunit ribosomal RNA", at positions 77 to 673 of the family's 1533-position model. Lineage: Bacteria; Bacillati; Bacillota; Bacilli; Caryophanales; Bacillaceae. The record is from RNAcentral.